RNAcentral lists this ribosomal RNA (758 nucleotides) under uncultured bacterium. Its description in RNAcentral is "bacterial SSU rRNA". It matches the Rfam family "Bacterial small subunit ribosomal RNA", at positions 38 to 783 of the family's 1533-position model. RNAcentral also lists the same sequence under 1 other name. The record is from RNAcentral.
AGCUACAGGCUUAACACAUGCAAGUCGAGGGGAAACGAUAGAGAAAGCUUGCUUUUUCUAGGCGUCGACCGGCGCACGGGUGAGUAACGCGUAUCCAACCUGCCCAUCACUUGGGGAUAACCUUGCGAAAGUAAGACUAAUACCCAAUGAUAUCUCUAGAAGACAUCUGAAGGAGAUUAAAGAUUUAUCGGUGAUGGAUGGGGAUGCGUCUGAUUAGCUUGUUGGCGGGGUAACGGCCCACCAAGGCGACGAUCAGUAGGGGUUCUGAGAGGAAGGUCCCCCACAUUGGAACUGAGACACGGUCCAAACUCCUACGGGAGGCAGCAGUGAGGAAUAUUGGACAAUGGACGAGAGUCUGAACCAGCCAAGUAGCGUGCAGGAUGACGGCCCUAUGGGUUGUAAACUGCUUUUAUAAGGGAAUAAAGUGAGUCUCGUGAGACUUUUUGCAUGUACCUUAUGAAUAAGGACCGGCUAAUUCUGUGCCAGCAGCCGCGGUAAUACGGAAGGUCCGGGCGUUAUCCGGAUUUAUUGGGUUUAAAGGGAGCGUAGGCCGGAGAUUAAGCGUGUUGUGAAAUGUAGACGCUCAACGUCUGCACUGCAGCGCGAACUGGUUUCCUUGAGUACGCACAAAGUGGGCGGAAUUCGUGGUGUAGCGGUGAAAUGCUUAGAUAUCACGAAGAACUCCGAUUGCGAAGGCAGCUCACUGGAGCGCAACUGACGCUGAAGCUCGAAAGUGGGGGUAUCGAACAGGAUUAGAA